UUGAGCAGGAUCUGGCAUGUUGGAAACAUGCACAUGCACCACCCACAAGGAAGGACUUGCUGGUCAGGACUUGCUGGGCUGCCUGGGAGGACAGUCAGCAGACAGCCUGCACAUGUUGCUCCUUCAGGCUCAGCCUAAGCCCUGAGCCACCUUGCUAAGCUCAUACCUUUUUCAGGGAAACCUGCAUUCAGCGACUACAUUUCAGGCUGACUUGGGACAUUUGGCAAGGACAGUACUUGCUUGAAGAGCUCUUUACCCCUGUGGAUAAGGCUUUGUCAAAAUUGUGUCACAGCUUUCGGCUUUCUGCUCGGAGGAGGCCAAGACCAAACUUUCUUCAGUUGUCCCGAAUCCAGGUUCAUCCAACACCAGCCACCUCCACCAUGCCGCCUAAGUUCAACCCCAACGAGAUCAAAGCCAUGUACCUGAGAUGCACCAGUGGAGAAAUCAGUGCUAAAUCUGCCUUGGCCCCCAAGAUCGGCCCUCUGGGUCUGUCCCCAAAAGAGGUUGGUGAUGACAUCGCCAAGGCAGCUGGUGAUUGGAAGGGUCUGAGAAUUACAGUGAAACCAACCAUUCAGAACAGACAAGCCCAGAUGGAGGUGGUACCUUCUGCCUCUGCCCUGAUCAUCAAAGCUCCAAAGGAACUGCCAAGAGACAGAAAGAAGCAGAAAAACAUUAAGCACAGUGGAAACAUCACUUUUGAUGAGAUUGUCAACAUUGCCCGACAGAUGCGGCGCUGCUCUUUAGCUAGAGAACUUUCUGGAACCAUUAAAGAGAUCCUGGGGACUGCCCAGUCUGUGGGCUGCAAUGUUAAUGGCCGCCGCCCUCACGACAUCAUAGAUGACAUCAGCAGUGGUGCAGUGGAAUGUCAAGCUAGCUAAGAACUGCAAAGAAAAAUAAAGAUUAUUUGACAACUAAAAAAAAAAAAAAAAAAA
Molecule: RNA transcript, 932 nt
Organism: Sus scrofa (pig)
Lineage: Eukaryota; Metazoa; Chordata; Mammalia; Artiodactyla; Suidae
Gene name: large ribosomal subunit protein uL11 pseudogene
Source: RefSeq, a predicted model, not a curated record